AUAUAGGACAAUGGGGGCAACCCUGAUCCAGCCAUGCCGCGUGUGUGAAGAAGGUCUUCGGAUUGUAAAGCAAUUUAAGUUGGGAGGAAGGGCUUUAGGUUAAUACCUUGAAGUUUUGACGUUACCAACAGAAUAAGCACUGGCUAAUUCUGUACCAGCAGCCGCGGUAAUCCAGAGGGUGCAAGCGUUAAGCGGAAUUACUGGGCGUAAAGCGCGCGUAGGUUGUGCAGUAAGAUGGGUGUAAGAUCCCCGGGCUUAACCUGGGAAGUGCUGUCAUGACUGCUGAGCUAGAGUACGGUAGAGGGUAGUGGGAUGUCCUGUGUAGCGGUGAAAUGCGUAGAUAUAGGAAGGAACACCAGUGGCGAAGGCGACUACCUGGACUGAUACUGACACUGAGGUGCGAAAGCGUGGGGAGC
This 416-nucleotide ribosomal RNA is filed under the name uncultured bacterium. RNAcentral describes it as "partial 16S ribosomal RNA". It matches the Rfam family "Bacterial small subunit ribosomal RNA", at positions 361 to 769 of the family's 1533-position model. The record is from RNAcentral.